GCACCUGUGGCUCAAAGGAGUAGGGCACUGGUCCCAUAUACCAGAGGUGGCGGGUUCAAACCCAGCCCUGGCCCA
Otolemur garnettii (small-eared galago) is the source of this 75-nucleotide non-coding RNA. The record is from Rfam. Lineage: Eukaryota; Metazoa; Chordata; Mammalia; Primates; Galagidae.